Molecule: long non-coding RNA, 362 nt
Filed under: Triticum aestivum (bread wheat)
Lineage: Eukaryota; Viridiplantae; Streptophyta; Magnoliopsida; Poales; Poaceae
Description: long non-coding RNA (TAES_LNC005219)
Source: RNAcentral
CAGGCUUUGGGUCGGGCGUGGGCUUGGGGUCAGGCUUUGGCGCCGGUCUAGGGUCGGGCUGCGGGUCUGGUUUGGGGUCGGGUUUGGGUGCUGGGUCAGGUUUCGGCGCCGGUUUGGGGUCGGGCUUGGGUGCUGGGUCAGGUUUCGGCACCGGUUUUGGGUCUGGUUUUGGGUCAGGUUUUGGCGCGAGUUUAGGGUCGGGCUUGGGUGUCGGGUCAGGUUUCGGCGCGAGUUUAGGGUCGGUCUGCGGGUCUGGUUUGGGGUCAGGCUGUGGCGUAGGCUUCGGCUCUAGGCUGGGCUCAUGUUUCAGCUCCGGCGCCCUCCCAGCGACGGCGAGGCUAGCAACAUUUGCCGCGACGAGG